This 310-nucleotide ribosomal RNA is filed under the name Clostridioides difficile. RNAcentral's name for it is "partial 23S ribosomal RNA". It matches the Rfam family "Bacterial large subunit ribosomal RNA", at positions 1897 to 2207 of the family's 2925-position model. The record is from RNAcentral. Lineage: Bacteria; Bacillati; Bacillota; Clostridia; Peptostreptococcales; Peptostreptococcaceae.
AAUCGAAGCAGUGAACUUAAGCCCCAGUAAACGGCGGCCGUAACUAUAACGGUCCUAAGGUAGCGAAAUUCCUUGUCGGGUAAGUUCCGACCCGCACGAAAGGCGUAACGAUUUGGGCACUGUCUCAACAACAGACCCGGUGAAAUUGUAAUUCCGGUGAAGAUGCCGGAUACCUGCGACAGGACGGAAAGACCCCAUGGAGCUUUACUGUAGCUUGACAUUGGGUCUUGGUACUACAUGUACAGGAUAGGUGGGAGGCUUGAAACCAGGACGCCAGUUUUGGCGGAGCCAUCCUUGGGAUACCACCCUU